Molecule: ribosomal RNA, 97 nt
Filed under: Muricoccus nepalensis
Lineage: Bacteria; Pseudomonadati; Pseudomonadota; Alphaproteobacteria; Acetobacterales; Roseomonadaceae
Description: Roseomonas nepalensis partial 16S ribosomal RNA
Rfam family: Bacterial small subunit ribosomal RNA
Source: RNAcentral
AUGAACUUGAGAGUUUGAUCCUGGCUCAGAGCGAACGCUGGCGGCAUGCUUAACACAUGCAAGUCGCACGGGCGGUUUUCGGAUCGUCAGUGGCGGA